Molecule: long non-coding RNA, 990 nt
Organism: Pan troglodytes (chimpanzee)
Lineage: Eukaryota; Metazoa; Chordata; Mammalia; Primates; Hominidae
Exons: 2
Source: RefSeq, a predicted model, not a curated record
GCAAGCGUUACCAUAGCAACCCUGCUGCAGAGUCUGUGAGAGGCUCUUGGCCUCUACCUGGUCUGUGGAAAAUCAAACUCUGGGCACAAGUCAUGAAGCCAGCACGUUGGGGAGACACCGUGUCACAGUGACAAGCUCGGUUUCCCUCCAGAGCAUCACGCCUCCUCCAGCACAGGAGCCGCCUGCUUUCCUGGGCUGCUGUGGAACUGGCCUGAGGUCCCAGACGCUGUCCAUUGUGCUGCCGCCCUCCGCGCUCUCCAGCCAGAGCGCCAGUUCACCGGCUUUUGGGAGAACUCCGCCGCCUCACCUGCCCGCGGACAAGGUCACAGCUUUGCAGGGGGUUGACAUGGGCUGUGGCUUCCUGGAAAUGUCACCCUCACCAGAGCCUUUUACAUGGAUGGGAAUUUUGAGACAUGAAGGAGGGUAAUUAUUGGUUUACCCAGGAGAUGCUAAGAGCAGAGGAGAAAACCCUAAUUUCCAGGCAUGUGACUUGAGCCAGGGACAGGCUAGCCAGACCCUGAGCCCCCAGUGCCGCCAGAGAGCAGCCUAUUGCCCUGGUUUCUGUGGAAGUCUCUUCAUGCUGCUGGGCCUUAGCCUCAGGGACAGCUCAGUCAGGUGAGGGUGGGGAUGACCCAUGGGCUUCUGGAGCUGGGCUGGUGGUCCUGGAAGGGCCGGCCCAUGCCCCUUGGAGAGGGUCUUUGUGCUGAGGGAUGCCCACAGAGGCCUGGGUACCAGGAACACUGCUGCAGGCAAGGGGCCUUUCUUCCAGAUUUGGCUGGAAGGAAGACUUGGUCAGCUUUUCCACCUUGCAGGGCUGCACCCCAUGGACCUGGGUUCCUGGAGUCCUUGACGGCUUUGUGUGGUCGACUUGUUUUGAUACUGAGGACACCCCUGCUGGCUGUUAAUUUCAGGGCAAGGGAUAUGAGGCCAUUAUUUUAAGUGAAAUAACUCAAGAAUGGAAAAUAAAAUACUAUUAUUUUUCACUUAUAA